AGAAAAAGGAAGAUCCUCGUCUGGCAAAAAAGGGGUUCGUUUCUUUUUGAUUCUUGAUCCGAACCCUUCUCUCAAUUUUCUCCAAAUUCCUUUCAAAUUCAACUCAGAUUAAGAAGAAAGUUUUUUUUUUUUGAAGGAUUUGUAAGUUAUUUGGAGAGAAAGUUUGAAUCUUUGAAAGUGUGGGGUUCAGAUUUUUGAAUGGAAGAAAUGGAAAUGGAUAGCGUUGAGUGUGUAUCAUUAAUGGAUGGUGUUGAAGAUGAAGAGAUCCAAUCUUCUAUUGCAUCUCAUCAAUACCCUUUAGGAAAGCCUAAUAACAUUCUUUCUGCCGGAAAUGUCCCUACUAGUGUACAUGAAUUGCUUGAAUGCCCUGUUUGUACAAAUUCUAUGUACCCACCAAUUCACCAGUGUCACAAUGGGCACACACUUUGUUCUACCUGCAAAACAAGGGUGCACAAUAGAUGUCCGACAUGCAGACAAGAGCUUGGUGAUAUAAGGUGUUUAGCGUUAGAGAAGGUUGCGGAGUCACUUGAACUGCCUUGCAAAUAUUUUUCUUUGGGGUGCCCAGAAAUAUUCCCAUAUUACAGCAAACUUAAGCAUGAAACAUUGUGCAAUUUUAGACCUUACAGUUGCCCAUAUGCUGGGUCAGAGUGCUCAGUGACCGGGGACAUCCCUUAUUUGGUUACACAUUUAAGAGAUGACCACAAAGUGGAUAUGCA
This 716-nucleotide unclassified non-coding RNA is filed under the name Hevea brasiliensis (rubber tree). The record is from RNAcentral. Lineage: Eukaryota; Viridiplantae; Streptophyta; Magnoliopsida; Malpighiales; Euphorbiaceae.